UUAAAGACAAAUGUCUGCCUAUUACCCUGCCCAUAUUGCAAAAUUAAUUACUUCCAUCUGCUACGGCCUUCCUUCGAAGUACCUCAAUAUUCUUCUGGAGGCAGUGUUUAUCUGCCUUCUACAGGUUAUGCUUCCAGGGGAAUUCACUUCAAACCAAUCCAUUUGAUCCUGCUCGCGGCAUUUCCUUCAGAUCUAUGAUUCGGACCAAAAAUUCUUCACACUCUCCUCAAGCACUCAAAAACCGAUGUGCAAGGUUCUGGUGUCACCUUAACAAUUCUAAAAUCAAUAAUCCUGUCCCUUCUCUGCAUGGUGAAAUUUCUUAAAAAUCCGACCUAGAAUUUCUAAAACGCACCAGCUCUAUUUUUUCUAACGGAGCCCCCUUUCCAAGGCUGUUUAGAACUCGCUUAACCACUGUUCUCAAAGCUGCAGUCUAUCUACUGGCCAUUCAUUCAGAAUUGGGGCAGCUACUUCAGCAGCUGAAUGAGCGAUCUCUACAUCAGCUGUUAAGAUCAUGGGCAGAUGGUCUUCCUAAGCAUUUGAAUCAUACAUCAGACCUGAUUCAAAACCAUUAUUGAAGCUCAGCAAGCUCUCCUGUAACUAAUCAGGAACCUUAGGAUUCACAACUGGUGGGUAUACUUCAUCUACUUUUUUGGCGGGGAAGGCUGGCCCCGUCUGGAGGUCUCAUAAUCCACCUAAUUUUGGGGGUCUGCUGCGCCCCUGCCUUCGUCUUCAGGCAGGAAAUGCAGAUUCGCUACCCUCGGAUUACGAACCAUGGACGGGGCCUUCCGCCAAAGAAAUUUAUAAUUGUGCUCGCUGAGCUGUCAAUAAAUGUAUGCUUCGUACAUUCCUCUA
This is a long non-coding RNA of Carassius gibelio (silver crucian carp), 852 nucleotides long. RefSeq lists it as uncharacterized. Lineage: Eukaryota; Metazoa; Chordata; Actinopteri; Cypriniformes; Cyprinidae. The transcript has 2 exons. The record is from RefSeq and is a predicted model, not a curated record.